RNAcentral lists this ribosomal RNA (383 nucleotides) under uncultured bacterium. RNAcentral describes it as "bacterial SSU rRNA". It matches the Rfam family "Bacterial small subunit ribosomal RNA", at positions 28 to 412 of the family's 1533-position model. The record is from RNAcentral.
GACGAACGCUGGCGGCGUGCUUAACACAUGCAAGUCGAGCGGUAAGGCCCUUUCGGGGGUACACGAGCGGCGAACGGGUGAGUAACACGUGGGUGACCUGCCCUUAGCUCUGGGAUAAGCCUGGGAAACUGGGUCUAAUACCGGAUAUGACUCCAUAACGUCAUGUUUGUGGGGUGGAAAGCCUUGUGCGGCUAGGGAUGGGCCCGCGGCCUAUCAGCUUGUUGGUGGGGUGAUGGCCACCAAGGCGACGACGGGUAGCCGGCCUGAGAGGGCGACCGGCCACACUGGGACUGAGACACGGCCCAGACUCCUACGGGAGGCAGCAGUGGGGAAUCUUGCGCAAUGGGCGAAAGCCUGACGCAGCGACGCCGCGUGGGGAUGAC